UCACCUGGUGGCUAAGCACAUUGACUCCUGAUAGAGCUCUCCCCCACUCCAGUACUCUUGCCUGGAAAAUCCCAUGGACGGAGGAGCCUGGUAGGCUGCAGUCCAGGAGGUCGCUAAGAGUUGGGCACGACUGAGCGACUUCACUUUCACUUUUCAUUUUCAUGCAUUGGAGAAGGAAAUGGCAACCCGCUCCAGUAUUCUUGCCUGGAGAAUCCCAGGGACAGAGGAGCCUAGUGGGCUGCCAUCUAUAGGGUUGCACAGAGUCGGACACGACUGAAGCGACUUAGCAGUAGCAGCAGCAGCAGCAAAGGAGAAGGAAUGCUGUGGGAUAGGCGAUGGACAGUGUCUGCCACGUCCAUCCCAGCUCCCGCUGCGCCCCUGUUGCAGCACAAAGAAAACACACCACUUCAGGCUCCUUCCACCACCUGCCCGUCCUCCCACUUCAUCUAUCAUCCUUCCAGCCGCACCCUGGAGCCCAGCGCUCAGGGCCACUGCUCCACAGAACUCACCAGCCUUCUUCCAAACUCUGCCACUCUGCUGUUGGCUCUCCUGCAGCAAACGGCAAGGCCAUCCAUCAGUCUGAGGCAGAAAGUCCUGCCAUUUGUCAUGAGAAGAGCUUGCUCCCAGCACACUGUUCCUCCUUCAGCCUCAGUCCCCAAAUGAGAGACACAGAGAGCCGGGGCAAAGCCGGGCAGACUCACCCCGGCUAACCUGAAAUCCUGCGGGCAAGGAGCACUCCCUGGGCUAUGACCCGCCCACGAUGAAGGAAGGAGAGCCCAACUCGGUGUUCGAGGCCAUUCUGGACACUGUGGAUCCAAACAGGGACAGCCACAUCACCCUGCACGAGUACUUGACCUUCAUGAUCAGCUGUGAGAACGAGAAGGGAGACUGAGAAGCUUCGAAGGGAAGCCUUCUGUGACCAAGGGAGGAGCUGUACCAGGACCUGACUCGGGAACAAGCCGACUGCUUCGUCUCCCACGUGAAGCCCUCCAUGGACAACAAGGGCUGUGAACUCCCCACUGCUUCUGACUAUGUCAAGUGAACCCGCUCGCUCCUCAUGAAUUGAUCCUCUGCUCCUAGGUUAGCCUGGCUCUCGCUGCUCACCUUGCUGCUGACUCGCUGCCUGUCAUCUCAUCUCUGUGCUCUUAAGAAAAAUACUCCCAGACAGUGAUACUUUCCAACGUAACCUUAACCUGCUUAGCUUGGGACAACAUUUGAUAGAAAAUGGUGCUUUGAUAAAUUGCUUCUGGUCUAGUCACCAGGUUGCUGUGGGGACCCAAUUCCUGUCUUAAAGCCAGCUGCCCCUUUUCAACUGCAGAAAAAUCUAAGCGGCUGGCUGGUUCGCCUCUUGUUCUCCCUCUCCCAAUUUUCUGUUUUCAUGUAAAAAGCAAAUGACUUGACUCCUCUCCCAAAAAAGGAAGUAAAUGUUUGUUGUAAGUCACUGAGAAUUGUUUGUUACA
Bos indicus x Bos taurus (hybrid cattle) is the source of this 1460-nucleotide long non-coding RNA. Lineage: Eukaryota; Metazoa; Chordata; Mammalia; Artiodactyla; Bovidae. The record is from Ensembl.